ACCUAUUAUUUUUAUUUCUCACCGCGUGCCCUAAAACCCACGCCGACACCUCCCUUACCCGAUUCCUCCUUGCUCCGACGCCGACACACCCAGCCUCCUCUUCUCUAUCUCCUUCCAUCUCCCUCACACGAGCACCGCACGGUCGGCUUCUCUCUUCCUCCUCACGCCAGCAUCGGAGACGCACGCCACCGCACAUGGUUGUCGCAGGUCCUCUAGCCGCCAUCACUGGGAAGCAGCCGUUUGAUCCCUCAUCCCCAAACCACCGCCGGCCUAUUCUCCUCUCUUGAGCCAUCACCAUCAGCUCUUCGUCGCCGACCACCAGCUCCACUCAACGCGGUGCUCUAGCAUGUAGCCGACCCUACCUCUUCCUCUUCGUUGUUGGCGCAGAUUCAUCACAGCUCUUUACCGGAAUCGCCCCGAUCAAAGUCGCCAGCCGUAGCAAGCUCCCUAUUCCGCUUUCACCCGACGUUGCUGCCCUUUCAACCGAUCAUCCGUCGGCCACAUAUCUCGAGCCCAUCACCAAUGCCACACGCCGUUACAGAGGUUGUCUGUCAACCGGGAGUUAGCCUUCAUCGGAUCUGAGGUUGGUAACGCUUAAUUGAUUCUUGGCCUUCAUAGCUCCAACCAACACAGAUUUAGAGCCAUUUGUGGAUCCAACCAGCCUUGUCUGUGGGUGAUCCAUAGCUUGAGCCACGUACCGGCAGCAAGAACCUCUCGGCUGUGGGUUAUUAGGAGAGCUUCACUUCUACCUGCUAUUAUGGAUGGGAUUGCUUCUAUAAGUAGUUGUGGAUCAAACUAGGGGCGUUAGUUUGAGACGAGCGUCUCAACUGGGGAUUGUUUAGCUCGAUCUACAUUUAAGGCGGAUAUUUCUUGCUUUAUCUCUUUAGUAUUUUGAUCCUAGUGCAUGAGCUUUAUGUUCAGAUAGUUGCUGUAUCUAUCUUGACUCCACUCUUAUUUUUCCU
Zingiber officinale is the source of this 962-nucleotide long non-coding RNA. RefSeq lists it as uncharacterized. The record is from RefSeq and is a predicted model, not a curated record. The transcript has 3 exons. Lineage: Eukaryota; Viridiplantae; Streptophyta; Magnoliopsida; Zingiberales; Zingiberaceae.